GGGUGUUUAGCUCAGUUUGGUUAGAGCGCCACGUUGACAUCGUGGAGGUCGUAGGUUCAACUCCUACAACACCCACCA
Molecule: transfer RNA, 78 nt
Filed under: bacterium
Lineage: Bacteria
Description: tRNA-Val
Rfam family: tRNA
About the family: Transfer RNA (tRNA) molecules are approximately 80 nucleotides in length. Their secondary structure includes four short double-helical elements and three loops (D, anti-codon, and T loops).
Source: RNAcentral